This 253-nucleotide ribosomal RNA is filed under the name uncultured bacterium. RNAcentral's name for it is "partial 16S ribosomal RNA". It matches the Rfam family "Bacterial small subunit ribosomal RNA", at positions 524 to 776 of the family's 1533-position model. The record is from RNAcentral.
GACGAACUGUCCAAACGUUGUUCGGAAUUACUGGGCGUAAAGGGCGCGUAGGCGGCUCGCUAAGUCGGAUGUGAAAACUCUGGGCUCAACCCAGAGCCUGCAUUCGAAACUGACGAGCUCGAGUUCUGGAGGGGAAAGCGGAAUUCCUGGUGUAGCGGUGAAAUGCGUAGAUAUCAGGAGGAACACCGGUGGCGAAGGCGGCUUUCUGGACAGAAACUGACGCUGAUGCGCGAAAGCUAGGGGAGCAAACAGG